AUUGAACGCUGGCGGCAGGCCUAACACAUGCAAGUCGAACGGUAGCACAGAGAGCUUGCUCUCGGGUGACGAGUGGCGGACGGGUGAGUAAUGUCUGGGAAACUGCCAGAUGGAGGGGGAUAACUACGUGAAACGGUAGCUAAUACCGCAUAACGUCGCAAGACCAAAGUGGGGGACCUUCGGGCCUCACACCAUCGGAUGUGCCCAGAUGGGAUUAGCGAGUAGGUGGGGUAAUGGCUCACCUAGGCGACGAUCCCUAGCUGGUCUGAGAGGAUGACCAGCCACACUGGAACGGAGACACGGUCCAGACUCCUACGGGAGGCAGCAGUGGGGAAUAUUGCACAAUGGGCGCAAGCCUGAUGCAGCCAUGCCGCGUGUAUGAAGAAGGCCUUCGGGUUGUAAAGUACUUUCAGCGGGGAGGAAGGCGAUGUGGUUAAUAACCGCAUUGAUUGACGUUACCCGCAGAAGAAGCACCGGCUAACUCCGUGCCAGCCGCCGCCGUAA
RNAcentral lists this ribosomal RNA (504 nucleotides) under uncultured bacterium. RNAcentral's name for it is "partial 16S ribosomal RNA". It matches the Rfam family "Bacterial small subunit ribosomal RNA", at positions 29 to 523 of the family's 1533-position model. The record is from RNAcentral.